This 262-nucleotide ribosomal RNA is filed under the name uncultured archaeon. RNAcentral describes it as "partial 16S ribosomal RNA". It matches the Rfam family "Archaeal small subunit ribosomal RNA", at positions 748 to 1008 of the family's 1478-position model. The record is from RNAcentral.
CAGCCGUAAACUAUGCGCGUUAGGUGUACUGGUGACCACGAGUCACCGAGGUGCCGAAGGGAAACCGUGAAACGUGCCGCCUGGGAAGUACGGUCGCAAGGCUGAAACUUAAGGAAUUGGCGGGGAGGCACCACAACGGGUGGAGCCUGCGGGUUUAAUUUGGACUCAACGCCGGAAUACUCACCGGAUAGGACAGACAUAUGAUAGUCGGGCUGAAGACUCUACUUGAUGAUCUGAGAGGAGGUGCAUGGCGUCAGUGACU